GCACCAGACUCCUACGGGAGGCAGCAGUGAGGAAUAUUGGUCAAUGGCCGCAGGGCUGAACCAGCCAAGUCGCGUGAGGGAUGACGGUCCUAUGGAUUGUAAACCUCUUUUGUCAGGGAGCAAAGUGCCGCACGUGUGCGGUUUGGAGAGUACCCGGAGAAAAAGCAUCGGCUAACUCCGUGCCAGCAGCCGCGGUAAUACGGAGGAUGCGAGCGUUAUCCGGAUUUAUUGGGUUUAAAGGGUGCGUAGGCGGACGCGUAAGUCAGCGGUAAAAUGGCGGGGCUCAACCUCGGCGAGCCGUUGAAACUGGGUGCCUUGAGUGGGCGAGAAGUACGCGGAAUGCGUGGUGUAGCGGUGAAAUGCAUAGAUAUCACGCAGAACUCCGAUUGCGAAGGCAGCGUACCGGCGCCCAACUGACGCUGAAGCACGAAAGCGUGGGUAUCGAACAGGAUUAGAUACCCCUGUAC
This 467-nucleotide ribosomal RNA is filed under the name uncultured bacterium. Its description in RNAcentral is "bacterial SSU rRNA". It matches the Rfam family "Bacterial small subunit ribosomal RNA", at positions 328 to 793 of the family's 1533-position model. The record is from RNAcentral.